Molecule: long non-coding RNA, 530 nt
Organism: Clarias gariepinus (North African catfish)
Lineage: Eukaryota; Metazoa; Chordata; Actinopteri; Siluriformes; Clariidae
Exons: 3
Source: RefSeq, a predicted model, not a curated record
UUGAACAUACAUACUAUAACAAACAGCGAUUACAUUAUUGUAAUGACUGUCCAUAUUUAUCGAACUGACGCUGCGUACACAUCUUGCUGCAUCCCAAAAUUUAUAUUUUUAUCAUUAUUACAAGAAGAUAAAAAAAUUUUAUGCUUAAAAAAUUAAGUUAAUGUAUUCAAUUCAACUUAUACAAACAUAAUAUCUGUACAUGUUCGUAGUAUAACAAUAUUUACAAUAUUUAUAAUGUAUAUUUUUUGAGCCACGCCCUUCAACCUUCAGAAAUACUGUCAUGCCUGGACGAAGACUUUGAACAUACUUCUUUUCCACCUUUGGAAAGGGCCGUAACAUUCAGAUCACGCCGCAUGACAUAAAGCAUGCUCUACAAGGCCAUGCUAAAGAUGAAAGUGCUUAUCUCCCUACUGGCACCUGGGGAACACUUUGCCAGUCUUUGCAAAUUCCAAAUUCUCUUUGCAACAAAGUAAGAUUGAAAAACAUUGCACAGGCCCACCUACAGGUAAUAUUUCAACGAGAGAACAGGG